This 87-nucleotide transfer RNA is filed under the name Treponema sp. RNAcentral's name for it is "tRNA-Ser". It matches the Rfam family "tRNA". Rfam says of the family: Transfer RNA (tRNA) molecules are approximately 80 nucleotides in length. The record is from RNAcentral. Lineage: Bacteria; Pseudomonadati; Spirochaetota; Spirochaetia; Treponematales; Treponemataceae.
GGAGAGAUGCGAGAGCGGUUGAAUCGGACGGUCUCGAAAAUCGUUGAACCCCUUGGGGUUCCGAGGGUUCGAAUCCCUCUCUCUCCG